CUGCAAUCUUUGUGAAAGGGGCUGCUGUGUGAAAGACGUAGGAAAGAUUUCUGCUUGUUUUUCCACUAGUGAAAGGAGGAAAAGUGCCUGGAGCAAUGGAGGGAGAGAAAAAAGGCCCCUCUCCUGAACACUCAUCUGGCUGUUAAAGUGAGACCACCCUUGUUAUAUUUGCAGACUAGGGCCCCAUCAGGCGACCUCUUGUUUGGGCCUUACAAAAGAAAAGAAAUCUAUGUGGGUUUAGUUAUUAUACACUUUUGUUGAUUCAGAAAGAAUAUCGGGUUUCAAACAUUCAUUGGGGAAAAGGCGAACAACUCUGCAAAUGGCGAUGGAGUUGGGGUGAGAUGACCUGACAAAAGGUCCUACAGUGCUGGCUUUAGAGGGAGGGCAGCUGCCUGGGCCCCACACUUCUGGGCCCCUCCAGAAUCUUGUACAAAAUCCUGCCUGCCUCCUUUAAAGUCAAGUCAGUCGCCAUUAACUCAGCAACAUUGCCAGCAAGCAAGUCCCUCAUUGGUUAUUAUUUAUUAAAUUGGUAUGACACCCUUCAUCCGUAGAUCUUGGGGGAAACCUAGGCAUUGGGCUUCUCCUCCAGGCCCAUCCACACAAGCCCAUACACAAGAUCCUUGACUGGGAGCUGUCCUGCCCAUGCCCAGUUGCCCAAUUGUCCAUUUCUCCCAGGACACAAGUAGGGAGGAGGCAGCCAUCUUGUUUCACAAUGAAAUCUCAGCAGAGCAAAGGAAAUGCUGAGCUUUUGGGCCGUUUCUGUUCACAUAACAGCAGCACCUCUGGAGAUAACAGCUUAUUUUCCUCUUUAGUACGACUUGCAUUCGUUCUGAUGGUUGGUAUGAUGUAUUCAGUAACAUUCUUCCCCCCAGCUGCAAUUGGCCACAGCAAAUGCAUUGUGAUGCACUCACUGAUGAUUUCAUGGCGUCAUCAUAGAAUCGCAACGUUGGAAGGAGCCCUGAGGGUCAUCCAGUCCAACCCCCUGCAAUGCAGGAUUCCCAACCGAUGCAGGAAUCUCAAUCCUAUGGUGAGACCUGCCCGGUUGAGCAGUUGAGGGUGCAGAGGAUCUCUGGCUGAGCCUGGAGCUUCCUGGAUCAGCCAGAGAUCUACGCCAGUGCAACUUGAUCACCCUGACUCAUCUGGGGCCGUUUUAGCAAAGUUUGCAAACAGCUGAGAAAGGGAGGCGAGAGAAGCAAGGAGGGCAAGGGGUUGUUUCAGUGACAAAAGGGAACCUGGAGAGAUGUGAGUGCCGGCAGCAAGCUGCCCUUUAAGCUUAUUUUUUCUAAAUAGCUCGGUGGGUGGCUGGUGCUUGUUCAUGAAAGGAAGGUUGACCUUCUCCAUGGAGGGGGUCACCGGGAGGCGCAAAGAGGGUCUUGCUGGCUCGUCCUCCGUGUCAAGCUUCUCAGAGGGGGGAAUUCUGAAAAACACCAAAAGGGCGCGAUUUGGGGGUCUCUUCUGAAACAAAGCUCUAUGGAUGUCUGUCUGCCGAAAGGCUGAGGUAAUAAAUCUCUCAGGGUCGGGCCAAAUUAAUUAAUUUUUUUUUAAAAAAAAUCACAGACUUGGUGGGAGGGUCAGGGAGGGUUUAAAUAGCUUAUGCAAAAGGUUGGCCUUGUAUUCUGAGAUGGAUUCCUGAUGCUCCUGCAGGGAGAAGGGAGUUGGUGAGUCCUGCUAGCAAAGGUGGAAAUUAAAACUAAUAUAAAUGCCAUUGAUAAUAAAGAAAACAUAGGCCUUGCAGCAGAACAAGGCAAGUGAGUGCUGAGGCUGCAAAGUGGGUUCUGAGAAGGAAAUCACAAUUCUUCCUUAAUGUGAAACUCCAGUCAAAUGUAAAGCCAGCAAAGCAGGGAAGAUAAGAG
Molecule: long non-coding RNA, 1853 nt
Filed under: Podarcis lilfordi (Lilford's wall lizard)
Lineage: Eukaryota; Metazoa; Chordata; Lepidosauria; Squamata; Lacertidae
Source: RNAcentral